CCUACGGGAGGCAGCAGUGGGGAAUAUUGCACAAUGGGCGCAAGCCUGAUGCAGCCAUGCCGCGUGUGUGAAGAAGGCUCUAGGGUUGUAAAGCACUUUCAGCGAGGAGGAAAGGUUGGUUGUUAAUACCGGCCNACUGUGACGUUACUCGCAGAAGAAGCACCGGCUAACUCCGUGCCAGCAGCCGCGGUAAUACGGAGGGUGCGAGCGUUAAUCGGAAUUACUGGGCGUAAAGCGUGCGUAGGCGGNUACUUAAGUUGGAUGUGAAAGCCCCGGGCUCAACCCGGGAACUGCAUCCAAAACUGGGUAGCUGGAGUGCGGAAGAGGAGUGUGGAAUUUCCUGUGUAGCGGUGAAAUGCGUAGAUAUAGGAAGGAACACCAGUGGCGAAGGCGACACUCUGGUCUGACACUGACGCUGAGGUACGAAAGCGUGGGGAGCAAACAGGAUUAGAUACCCUGGUAGUCCACGCCGUAAACGAUGUCUACUAGUUGUCGGGGGCCUUGUAUCCUUGGUAACGAAGCUAACGCGAUAAGUAGACCGCCUGGGGAGUACGGCCGCAAGGUUAAAACUCAAAUGAAUUGACGG
Molecule: ribosomal RNA, 586 nt
Filed under: uncultured Gammaproteobacteria bacterium
Lineage: Bacteria; Pseudomonadati; Pseudomonadota; Gammaproteobacteria
Description: bacterial SSU rRNA
Rfam family: Bacterial small subunit ribosomal RNA
Source: RNAcentral